UUAAGUUCAGCGGGUAGUCCUACCUGAUUUGAGGUCAAAUGGUCAAGUUGUCUAUGUAGACGAUUAGAAGCAAAACCCUUCCAAGAUGGAAAGCUGAUUCUCGAUAGUAUAGAUAAUUAUCAUACCAAAGAUGGUCAGCAAAGACUUUGCUAAUGCAUUUAAGAAGAGCUGACUUCUGAGAAGCCAGCAACCUCCAAAGU
RNAcentral lists this unclassified non-coding RNA (200 nucleotides) under Entoloma sp. RNAcentral describes it as "partial internal transcribed spacer 2". Lineage: Eukaryota; Fungi; Basidiomycota; Agaricomycetes; Agaricales; Entolomataceae. The record is from RNAcentral.